This 421-nucleotide ribosomal RNA is filed under the name uncultured bacterium. RNAcentral's name for it is "bacterial SSU rRNA". It matches the Rfam family "Bacterial small subunit ribosomal RNA", at positions 355 to 776 of the family's 1533-position model. The record is from RNAcentral.
UGGGGAAUCUUGCGCAAUGGCCUAACGGCUGACGCAGCGACGCCGCGUGAGGGAUGACGCUCUUCGGAGUGUAAACCUCUUUUGCCUGGAACGAACUAUCAGCUUCAGCUGAUUUGACGGUACCGGGUGAAUAAGCACCGGCUAACUCCGUGCCAGCAGCCGCGGUAAUACGGGGGGUGCGAGCGUUGUCCGGAAUCACUGGGCGUAAAGGGCGCGUAGGUGGCGUGAUAAGGGUGUGGUGAAAGCCCGGGGCUCAACCCCGGGUCGGCCAUGCCGACUGUCAGGCUCGAGUACUGUAGGGGCAGGCGGAAUUCCGGGUGUAGCGGUGGAAUGCGUAGAGAUCCGGAGGAAGACCGGUGGCGAAGGCGGCCUGCUGGGCAGUUACUGACACUGAUGCGCGACAGCGUGGGGAGCAAACAGG